UAGGGAAUCUUCCGCAAUGGACGCAAGUCUGACGGAGCAACGCCGCGUGAGUGAAGAAGGAUUUCGGUUCGUAAAACUCUGUUGUUAGAGAAGAACAGCGCAUAGAGUAACUGUUAUGCGUGUGACGGUAUCUAACCAGAAAGCCACGGCUAACUACGUGCCAGCAGCCGCGGUAAUACGUAGGUGGCAAGCGUUGUCCGGAUUUAUUGGGCGUAAAGCGAGCGCAGGCGGUCAAUUAAGUCUGAUGUGAAAGCCCCCGGCUCAACCGGGGAGGGUCAUUGGAAACUGGUUGACUUGAGUGCAGAAGAGGAGAGUGGAAUUCCAUGUGGAGCGGUGAAAUGCGUAGAAAUAUGGAGGAACACCAGUGGCGAAGGCGACUCUCUGGUCUGUAACUGACGCUGAGGCUCGAAAGCGUGGGUAGCAAACAGG
This 429-nucleotide ribosomal RNA is filed under the name Bacteroidota bacterium. RNAcentral describes it as "Bacteroidetes bacterium partial 16S ribosomal RNA". It matches the Rfam family "Bacterial small subunit ribosomal RNA", at positions 355 to 776 of the family's 1533-position model. Lineage: Bacteria; Pseudomonadati; Bacteroidota. The record is from RNAcentral.